This 192-nucleotide non-coding RNA is filed under the name Clostridium intestinale. Its description in RNAcentral is "T-box sequence". It matches the Rfam family "T-box leader". Rfam says of the family: Uncharged tRNA acts as the effector for transcription antitermination of genes in the T-box leader family. T-boxes are found upstream of many aminoacyl-tRNA synthetase genes and some amino acid biosynthetic genes usually in Gram-positive bacteria. Lineage: Bacteria; Bacillati; Bacillota; Clostridia; Eubacteriales; Clostridiaceae. The record is from RNAcentral.
UCAAAGGCGAUGAAUGAGAGUAGUAGGAAGAAGAAUUUUUUAGAGAGCAGACGGGUGGUGUAAGUCUGCAGAUGAAUUUUCUGAACUCGCUCAAAGAGCUGUGAAUUGAAAUUAAGUAGAUUCAACCGGUUAAUAACCGUUAUUUUAAUUAAGUUAUAAGUUUGGAUGGUACCGCGCCCUUGCGCUCCAAUA